UCCAGACUUCGGUCUGGUGAGAGUGGCGGACGGGUGAGUAACGCGUGGGAACCUGCCCAUUGGUCUGGGAUAACUGCGGGAAACUGCAGCUAAUACCGGAUGUACCCGAGAGGGGGAAGAUUUAUCGCCGAUGGAGGGGCCCGCGUCAGAUUAGGUAGUUGGUGAGGUAACGGCUCACCAAGCCUACGAUCUGUAGCUGGUCUGAGAGGAUGAUCAGCCACACUGGGACUGAGAUACGGCCCAGACUCCUACGGGAGGCAGCAGUGGGGAAUAUUGGACAAUGGGGGCAACCCUGAUCCAGCAAUGCCGCGUGAGUGAUGAAGGCCUUAGGG
Molecule: ribosomal RNA, 332 nt
Filed under: uncultured bacterium
Lineage: Bacteria
Description: bacterial SSU rRNA
Rfam family: Bacterial small subunit ribosomal RNA
Source: RNAcentral